CAAAAAUAACGAUACGGGACUCAUCCGAGGCCCCGUAAUCGGAAUGAGUACACUCUAAACCCUUUAACGAGGAUCAAUUGGAGGGCAAGUCUGGUGCCAGCAGCCGCGGUAACACCAGCUCCAAUAGCGUAUAUUAAAGUUGUUGCGGUUAAAAAGCUCGUAGUCGAAUUUGUGUCCCGCGCCGCCGGUUCAUCGCUCGCGGUGUUAACUGGCGUGUCCGCGGGACGUCCUGCCGGUGGGCUUAGCUUCAGGGCGGCCCAAUCUCAAUCCCACCGCGGUGCUCUUUACUGAGUGUCGAGGUGGGCCGGCACGUUUACUUUGAACAAAUUAGAGUGCUUAAAGCAGGCUAAAAUAUCGCCUGAAUACUGUGUGCAUGGAAUAAUGGAAUAGGACCUCGGUUCUAUUUUGUUGGUUUUCGGAACCCCGAGGUAAUGAUUAAUAGGAACGGAUGGGGGCAUUCGUAUUGCGACGUUAGAGGUGAAAUUCUUGGAUCGUCGCAAGACGGACAGAAGCGAAAGCAUUUGCCAAAAACGUUUUCAUUGAUCAAGAACGAAAGUUAGAGGUUCGAAGGCGAUCAGAUACCGCCCUAGUUCUAACCAUAAACGAUGCCAGCUAGCGAUCCGCCGACGUUCCUCCGAUGACUCGGCGGGCAGCUUCCGGGAAACCAAAGCUUUUGGGAUCCGGGGGAAGUAUGGUUGCAAAGCUGAAACUUAAAGGAAUUGACGGAAGGGCACCACCAGGAGUGGAGCCUGCGGCUUAAUUUGACUCAACACGGGAAACCUCACCAGGCCCGGACACCGGAAGGAUUGACAGAUUGAGAG
This 821-nucleotide ribosomal RNA is filed under the name Helictopleurus neoamplicollis. RNAcentral describes it as "SSU rRNA". It matches the Rfam family "Eukaryotic small subunit ribosomal RNA", at positions 472 to 1254 of the family's 1831-position model. Lineage: Eukaryota; Metazoa; Arthropoda; Insecta; Coleoptera; Scarabaeidae. The record is from RNAcentral.